This 253-nucleotide ribosomal RNA is filed under the name uncultured bacterium. RNAcentral describes it as "partial 16S ribosomal RNA". It matches the Rfam family "Bacterial small subunit ribosomal RNA", at positions 524 to 776 of the family's 1533-position model. The record is from RNAcentral.
UACGUAGGCAGCAAGCGUUGUUCGGAGUUACUGGGCGUAAAGGGCUCGUAGGCGGCCAACUAAGUCGGAUGUGAAAUCCCCAGGCUUAACCUGGGAACUGCAUCCGAUACUGGAUGGCUUGAAUUCGGGAGAGGGAUGCAGAAUUCCAGGUGUAGCGGUGAAAUGCGUAGAUAUCUGGAGGAAUACCGGUGGCGAAGGCGGCAUCCUGGACCGAGAUUGACGCUGAUGAGCGAAAGCUAGGGGAGCAAACGGG